Long non-coding RNA from Medicago truncatula (barrel medic), 10973 nucleotides. RefSeq lists it as uncharacterized. The transcript has 3 exons. The record is from RefSeq and is a predicted model, not a curated record. NCBI's taxonomy places the organism in Eukaryota, Viridiplantae, Streptophyta, Magnoliopsida, Fabales, Fabaceae.
AACCUCUAGAUAAGUUGAUACAAGGGACAAGAACGGCUCCAGCUAGAUAAAUCAAAUUUCUUUAAUAAGUUCUUAAUAAUUUUGAUUUGAUUGGAAGGCAUACAAAUUGAAUUUUAAACAUGUUCUUAAUUUAUUCUGCAGCGUGGUGGUUUGUCAAACUAAGCGUGGAUCUGAUUUGGUGAUGUCUGUUAAAUCAGUUUUCUUUUCAAAAUUUCUUCAUUAUUUUUAAUGUAUACUAUUAAAUCAGAUAAUAUUUUUAUGAUUCGGUAAUCUCUUUGGUUUUUCAGGAGAAAUAAACACGCUUUACUCUGGUUCUAUCUUUCUUCCAAUAAUUUUGUGUUCUUAUUUCUGGUUCAUGUUUGUGAAGUUUCAAUCUUGGUGUUUGUUCUUUAUUGAUUUUAAUGCUAUACAUAAAAAUUGAAUCAUGAACUUCAUUAGAUAAUCGACAUACAUUUGGCCAUUUUGCAGCAAGCUGAGAAGUCUUAUUAACUAGAACGGCUUGAUACAACAUACGGAAUGGCUCCAGAUAGAUAAAUCAAUUUAUUCAAUGAUUUGUUCUUUAUUACUUUAAUUUCUGGGUUUUUACUGCAAGACAUGCAAAUUGAAUUUUCAACAUGUUUUCUUGCAGCGUGGUUUGUUAAACUAUUACCUGCUUGAUGCAUGGAGCCUAGCGUUUUGAUUUGGUGAUCUGUAAUAAAUUCUUUUCAUUUUUUAAAAUUCUUUAUUCUCUGAGAUCAUGUAUUUCUUGACCUGUUUUUACCCUCUUUGGUCUUGCAGGAAAAGUAAUUUUGUAACAUACGACUUCUUCUAGUGAUAUGUAUCUUCCUCUUGUUUGGUCUUCAUGUUUUGCAUUCUUUAUUCAUUUUUGAUUGAUUCUUUCGGUUUCAUGAUUUGUCUGGUUGAUUAUUUGUUUUUGUUGGUUUAGACUGCAGUUUGGUUUGUCAAAAUAAUAAUAUCCUUCACAGCAUAGAGCCUGAAGUUUUGAUUUGGUGAUAUCUAGUAAAUCCUUUUUGUUUCAAUCUUACAUUGUUGAUUCUAAGAACAAAUGUUUCUUGAAUGUUAAAUUGUUAAUUUACUUCCUGGUAUUAAGAGGAUAUGAUUUUGAUUUCUUGAUGGUGUUACAUGAGAAGAUAUGCUUUUGAUUUCUUGAUUAUGAGGUUUGUUUGUUUAUUCUUGUUCAUACCUUCUUUUGUUACUUGAUUUUUUAACUAGGUGGCCAUAUUGUUUGCUCUGUGACAUGCAUUUAUCCAUCUUUUGCAGUCUGUGAAAUCUUCAUUAUCUAGAACGUUUCAUACACCGGAAAAGAACAACAGCCCCGAUAGAUAAAAAUCAAAUUUCUUCAUUGAGCCAUUGUUUAUUAUUUUAAUUUCUGGGCUUCAAUUGCAAGACAUACGAAUUGAAUUUUGAACAUGUUUUCCUGCAGCAUGGUUUGUCACACUAAUAACCUGCUUCGUGGCAUGGAACCUAGCAUUUUGAUUUGGUGAUAACUAUUUAAUUCUUUUCAUUUUAAAAAUUUCUUUUAUCAACAUAUAUAUAUCUUUAUUUGUUGUUUAUUCUUCCGUGUCGCAGGAGAAGUGUGAUCUUUUUUAAACAUAUUCUGGUUCUAUCGAUCUUCCUCUUGUUUAUAUCUUAGAAGUUCAGCCUUACUCUGAUUUCCUUACAUUCAGGUUUUUGAUGUAUUCUGACCGUGAUAGUUUACACAAUUCUGGAGAAAUUGUGACUGCUUUGAUGUAAUCUGUCAUUUAGGUUUAUUACUUCCGUUCAGACUUGGAAUAAAGCUGGUCAUACAUCCUACUUUUCACUCAACCUUGGUAAUAAAACUGGUUUCAUUUUGUGUUGGGAUGGGAUAGUUGUGCUCUGAUGGUGUGAUGGGAUAGUUGUGCUCUGAUGGUGUGAUGGGAUAGUGUUGCAGUUUUUAUAAUGUUGUAUCAGGAGUCUGCAGUUUAUCUUUUCGCUUGGGUCUUUUGAUCUUCUUCUAUCAUAAGUAGAUAAUGGAGAUAUAUGUUUAAUUUGCAGCAGGUGGCGGAAUCCGGAAAAACUAUAAACAUUUUGUGAUUCUUUACACAACGGAUAUGAAUGGAGAUUGGCUUCAAAUAGAUAAAUCGAAUUUCUUCAAUGAUUCAUUCUUUAUUGUUUUUAAUUUCAAGUUUUAGAUUAUGAGAAGAAUUGAACCGUGAUCUUGCUUUUUCUGCAGCUUGGUUUGUCUAAUUAUUAACCUCCUGAGUAUGGAGGCUUGAGAAUUUUCUGGUGAUCUCUAUCUAGUAAAUUUUCCGUUCAAUGCUUCUGAGAGGAUAUAUUUCACACUCUCGUACUUUUCUUGAAUCUUCUUUUACGAUUAGUUAAUGAGUAUUAUUUUUCGAUAUAACUCUUCUUUGAUAAUCGAAGAUCCAUUUAUCCGUUGUACUGCUCUUGAUAGAUAAUUAUUUUUCUUCAAUGAGUCCUUUAUCCAUUUCUGCAGCGUGGUUUGUCAGAGUAUUAAAAAUGUUCUUUAUUCAUAGCAUGGAGCCUCUAGAUUUGAUUUGGUGAUAUCUAGUAAAUCUUUUUGGUUCUAUCUUUCUAUGUCAAUUCAGAGAAUGCUUGAUUUGGUGUUUUACUUUCUUGUUUCUUUGAUCUGUGAUUACUUAAUUUCAGUGAUUGUUAAGAUAUACUUUCCAACAUUUUCACACAAUCACACUUCUCUCGACUCUUCUUUUACAUAAAAAUUUCUUAAAAUUCUUAAAUUUUUUAUAUAAUUAAUUAUUCAUUUUGAUAAUCGAGAGAUCAUUUAUCGGUUUUGCAGUGAAACCUCUUGAUACAAGGUACAAGAAAGGCUCCAGUUAGAUAAAUCAAAUUUCUUUAGUUGAUAAUUAAUUAUUUUAAUUUGAUUGGAAAGCAUACAAUUUGAAUAUUGAACAUAUUCUUAAUUAUUCUGCAGCGUGGUGGGUAGUUUGCAAACUAAGCAUGGAUUUGAUUUGGUGAUGUCUGUUAAAUUAUUUUUGUUUUCAAAAUUUCUUCAUUGUUUUUUAUGUAUUAUUAAAUCAGUUUCAGUUGAUUUUUUGAUUUGGUGAUCUUUUUGGUGUUUCAGGAGAAAUAUCUAUGAAAACACGAUUUCUUCUGGUUCUUUCUUUCUUGCUCUUAUUUGAUCUUCAUGUUUUGUAUUCUUUUUCCUUUCUGGUUUCAUGUUUAUGAGGUUUUGAUUUUGGUGAUCAUUGUUUUUUAUGUAUUAUUAAAUCAGUUUCAGUUGAUUUUUUGAUUUGGUGAUCUUUUUGGUGUUUCAGGAGAAAUAUCUAUGAAAACACGAUUUCUUCUGGUUCUUUCUUUCUUGCUCUUAUUUGAUCUUCAUGUUUUGUAUUCUUUUUCCUUUCUGGUUUCAUGUUUAUGAGGUUUUGAUUUUGGUGAUUAUUGUUUAUUAAUUUUAAUGCAAGACAUCAAUGACUUCCUUUUUCAGCUUGGUUUUGUCAAAAAUUAACCUCCUACAUAGCAUAGAACCUUUUCUCCUUGGUUCAUAAAUAUGAAAGAUAGUGAAUCCUUUUUGUUUAAAUCUUUAUUGAUUUUGCAGCUGAGGUCAACAUAUUCUUGGUUCAAAGAUAUAAGUACGGGGAAUGGUUCAAGAUAAAUCAAAUUUCUUCAAUGAGCCAUUUUUAUUGUUUAUAAUCUGACUUUGAUUACAAGACAUACAAAUUGAUUUUGAAAAUGCUUUUCUGCAGCGUGGUUUGUCGAAAUAAAUGAACUGCGAACAUGCUUUUUCUGCAUCCUGGUUUGUCUAAAUAAUAACCUCCUUCGUAGUAUGGAGCCUUGAGUAUUUUCCCGGUGAUCUCUAGAAAAUUCAUCUAUUCAAUCUUUGUGUUAUUUUUCAAUUUAACUCUUCAUUUGAUAAUUGAAGAUCCGUUGAUAAUCGAAAUAAUCAUUGUGGGUUUGAUGGCUGUGUUCCAGCUUUGUUUUUUUGAAAGUAUGUUUCACUUCAAAAAAAAAAAAAAAAAAAGAAGAAGAUCCGUUUAUCCGUUGUACUGCGAGCAGGGAAGUCUUGAUAUCUAUAACACUUGAUUCAACGGACAGGAACGGGGGAACGGUGUUUGAAAGAUAAAUGAUAAUGAGUCCUUUAUUAACUUGAUUUCUGGGCUAUGAACAAAUUGAAUUUUGAACAUGUUUUUCUGCAGCACGGUCUGUCAAAUCUAAUAACUUUCUUCGCAUCAUAGGGUUUUUAUAUGGUGAUAUUAUCAUAAUCUGUUUUUUUAUGAUAUUUCUUUCACUGCUAAGAGUAUGAAUAUUUCUUGAUUGGUUACUUUUUGGUGUUGCUGAGAGUAUGAAUAUUUCUUGAUUCGUUGCUCUCUGGUGUUGCAGGAGCAAUAAUCUGUGACAUUCUCUUGUUUGAUCCUCAUGUGAAGUAUUCUUAUUCUUUGUGAUUAAUUAUUCGUUAUCUUUAACUUUUGCAGUCCAAUUUUGAUUGUUCUUGAAUUCCUGUUACAACUAACAUUAUUCUUGGUAGACAGAUGUUGUUUUGCAUUUAUGGUAUUGCUAUUUGAGUAAUAGGAAAUAGUAAUGUUUUGCUGAACUUGGAAAGAUGACUGGAGUUCUGCUAUGAAUUUUCUGUUUUGGAUGUUGCCAGUUGAGUUUCAUAAAACGGUGAUGUUUUGCAGAGCUCCAUACAUGAUAUUCAUUUCUGGUGGAUUGUGAAUUAAAACCUGUUUUCUGGAGCAUAAUAUAUCUUAAAAUAACCAGUCUGUGUAUUAUUAAAGUGUACAGGUUUAUUUUUGCACACCCUGAUUCAACGUCCUCUGCAGGCUGUUUCAUAUACUCCCUAUAGUUUGAUAAUCAGCAUCUACUUUUUGAGUUUUCUGUGAGUGUUAGAGGAAAAUCCUAUAAAUGUGCACGAAGCAAGGUUCUGUUCAGCCUUGAGAUAAAACUGGUAAUUUUCUAGCCGUGUUUUUAUAUUGGGAUUUGGGAUAGCAGGUCCUCUGAUGGUUUCUUGCAAGUGUCUGAGUUUUUGUGGUUCUGUCUCAUGAGAGUAUGAAGCAUAUAAGAAUUCUGGACUGGUUUGGCACUUUAAUUGUUGAUUUGUCUCUUCCUCUAUCAUAAUUCGUUUUCUAUUUUCCUGCGGUUUGUGGUAUAUAUACAUGAGGAUAAGAAUCUUCUCUCCAAAAAGGUUAUGCCUCACAGAUUCUGCAAUUGGAGCAAGGACUUGGUUUAGGGGGGAGCUUAAUGGAGCACCAGAAUCUGCAAUUGGCUGCCGUUGUUAAGCUUUCAUUUCGUUAUUUCUACUUUGACAGUUAGAUUUCUUCUUCACGUUUUCCUUGUCUUUUUGUGGAUUUAGUUUUCUCAUUCCUACCCCGACUCCCUGUGUCUGUAAAUGGGGUUUUUUGUUGUGAAAUUUUCUUAGCUCGUGUUACAGGGGAGAUGCUGUACUGUGAUUUUAAAGCUGCAGCUAACCUUAAUAUUACGAACAUGCAGACCCUUGGAUUUCACUGGUCAUUUUCUUGCCUUGAAUGUACUUGUUCUGGAAUAGGUGUCCUUUGACAUUGUGAUGUGCCAAUGUUUAGAAAUAUGAAUCUAGAUAUUAGGAGAGCUUCGGCAAUAUUUAUGAUUCUGUCAGCUUGGAUAUCUAAAAUGUUUGGAAAUACUCGAGUCCAGAUAUAUCAAAAUUACUAAGAUUUGGGAUUUGUUCUUAUGACAUGCAGAUUGGAUUGUGAAUCUAUUUUUAUUUUCAAUAUUUCUAUUGAUAUUGAGGGCGUUACAAGGGAGACCGACUAUGAAUGUAUGGUGUGCCGUGACCUGUGGAAACCGGCCGUGUGAUAUGAUCAGUAAUUUUUUACAUAUCCGUGUGUUUGUUUAUGUUACAUCAUUAGGGAUAUUUUUCCUUUGAUAUGUCUAAUGCUAGUGCUGGAUAUGUGUUUUCGCAUCAGGAGAAUGAAUACUGAAGCAUACAAGAUUCUAGAGUAUAUGAUUUUGUCCGCAACGAGGAUAUGAAAUUCUGGACAGCUUGGUUUGGUGUUAUACUCUGGUAGUCUGCCAUCUUUUGUAGUUUUAUAAGAAUCUUCUGUCCCAAAUUUGUAUCUUUGUUGGUGGAGUAGUUAUUCUCUUAUGGUUUGGCCUGCCUGUAGUCUGUUUUGGACAGCUUGGGUGGAUUGUCCUGAUGGCGGUCUUUAUCUGGGGAGCUUUUCUAUACUGUUUAUCAUUUGACGAUGUGCAUAAGAAUAAAUCGGUUCUCCUAAGUUGAUAUUUCUGAGUGCACCGGGCUUCAAGGUGAUUUCUACUUGGUUAUACAUACUUUGUGCUUUCUGCUUGGAUUGGUUCUUUGUAUUUUAUCCCGUUCAUUGCAAAUAUAGAUAGACCAGCUAUUUCUUACUUCUAAUGGCGUGUCCUGCAUUCUUUUUGUUAAGAACAACCACAAUAAUGGAAUAUACCAAGUGUGCAGAGUUUAUUGUUCCUCCUUAGUUCACAAAGCAGGCCUGCUUCUAGCUUAGGAAUGCUUAAUGUAUUUUGAAAGUUAUCUCUUUGUUGUUUGACCUGCCAGUGUUAACUAGAGUAGAAAUUGAACAUGGUGUUAGGGACAUAACUAAGCAAAUGUUUAUGAUGUUCUAAUGAUCAAUUUUGUUAUUUUCAAUUAUCUUUUAUGAUGUUCUAAUGAUCAAUUUUGUACCAGAUGACUUUUAUCAUUUUUUUUUUUGGAAAUCACUCUGAUACCUUCAGUAAGGUUAAGUUUAAACUUCUAACGAGCAAGGACAACGUGUAGUGUAAAAAAUUACAAUUUUAUCAAUGUAUUUUUUAAUUAACACCGUUGAUCUAUAUAAGCAUGUGUACCAGAUCACUUUGAUAAUUUUCUAUUUGGAAAUUACUCAAUGAUAUUAAAACUUCAUUAAGGUUAGAUUAAAACUUCUAUUCAGAAAUCACAAUAGAUAUAAUAUUCACGCUUGUUCAUAAAAAAAAAAUGAUAAUAUUCACCAUUUAACAGUGUAGUGUAAAAUAUUACAAUUAAAUCUUUGUAUCUUUGAAAUUAAAACUAGCAAAAGAAUUGUAACAUUUUUCACAAUCAAAGGAAAAUAAUUAGCUGGCGUCUUUACACUUGAAUUGACAAAAAUAUCAUUAAACUUAAUGAAUUUUUACCAUUAUCCAUUGUCUCACACUUCUCUUAUAUCCUCCCUCAUCCUCCUUUCCAUUAUCUGUCUUCUUUUUAGAGCCAAGUGAUAUGAUGGAAGAGGCAUACGGCGUAAUUAUUGAAGUUAUUUUUUCAUAGCAUGGAGCCUUGAGUUCAUAUGUGAAUUUUCUCUUGAGAUGUUGCCGAUUGAGUUUUAGAUAAUGGUAGUAAUGUUUUGUGAAACUACAUGAUUAUACUAAAUUGUGAAUUGAAACAUUUUCUGUUUUCUGCAGUGCUGUGUGUUUUGAGACUGUUCUGUGUAGCACCAAGCAAUCAGGUGUAUUUUGAUACACUCUUCUUGGUUGUGAAUAGUUUUUAUCUCAUUAAUUCUCUGUAAAGUUCUACUAUCCUGUCAUUUUGACUUACUCCUUUAUGUCACUUGGGUGUUACACGCGAGAGAUAAGUCUGUUUAAGUGGGGUGAGAGAUGAGUUCAGUAUUCAUUAUCCUCAAAUUUAUCGUUCAGUCUUGUUUUACUCCCUUAUACUGAGAAGUUCAACCUUACGGUUCGCGGACUGCUUAAUACUACUGUUAUCUUACAUUUAGAUUUCUGACCUGUAAAUUGAGUUUACACAAAUCUGGAGAAAUUAAGUAAGUUAUUUAUGUGUUUUUGUAAAUAUGAUCUUUUUAUCAGUGGCUUCAUUUGUGCAUGUGUUAUUUAAUACUACUUGGUUAAUACUACUCUUGUUUCUCUUACUUGGUUUUUUCUAUAAUUAGGUGGUACAGUGUAAUAUUUUUGUGCAUGUGUUAUUUGGUGUUCAAGUCCUGGAAGCAGCCUCUUGUGUAAAAAACAGGUUAAGGCAGCGUACAAUACACCAAUAAUGGUGGGACCCUUUCCCGAACCCUGCGUAUGAAGGAGCUUUAGUGCACGGGUUGCCCGUUUGUGUCAUUUGGACUGGUUUACAUAUUUUUCUGGAGAAAUGGGACAGCUUGUGAGGGGCUCUCUUGUAACUAUGAUCUUUUGUUCAGCGGCUUGGUUUGGAGAAUUAUGCUAAUCUUCUCUUUUAUUUUGCAACUAUCUGUUACACUACUCCAUCAAACUACUGUUUUAUUACAUUUAUGUUUUUCACAUGUAAUGUGACGGAGUAGUGGUUACACAAUUCUGAGAAAUUGAGACAACUUUGUGGGGUUUACUUCGUAACUAUGAUCUGCGGAUUAGCAGCUUGGUUUGGACAACUUUGUGCUGUUACAGGGCUGUCAUUGUCAUAUACUGUCUACUGUCUACAGGCUGUCAUCCACUUUUGUCAGAUCCUUUGAGUUUUCUCUGUGUUACAAGGGGAGUAAGCCUAUAAUUGUGUGGCAUGCAGAGAGGUUCGCUUACUUUCCGUUCAGCCUUCGGAUGAAUAAAACUGGUCAUUUUUUGCCUACAUCUGUAUCUGUGCUCUGUUAGAGUUGCAGUUAUUAUGUUCUUGUUUCUGGAGUCUUUGUGCUGCUUCUAUCAAGGAGUUCAUUUUGGACUUGUAUUUUGAUAUGCUUCUAUCACGAAUGUCACAGUUCUCCUGGCUCUUUUUUCAUGGAUUGGUUUUUCAAGAAUUGUUGUUUGUUUAUUUUUUUGGUUUAUUGGAUAUGGUUGUUCAUAAUUGGAUAAUCGAGACAUGCAUUUAUCCGUUUUGCAGCGAGCUGAAGUCUGGAAGUCCAGAUUGUUUUGCGAUUGCUGACACAACAUAUACGAACGGAGAACGGCUUCAGAUAUAAAUUGAAUUUCUCCAGAUCUUUAACUAUGAGACGAAUCGAACUGUGAACGUGGUUUUUCUGAAGCUUGGUUUGUCAAAAUAAUAACCUCCCAUGGUUUUUCUGCGGCCUGGUUUGUCAAAAAAUAUAACCUGCCAUUGUUUUUCUGCAUCCUCGAGUAUUGAUAUGGUGAUUGUUAGUAAAUUCUUUUCUUACAAUAUUUCCAUAUGAGAAGCAUAUAUUUCACACUAUCAUACUUUUCCAGAAUAUGUUGUUACCAUUGGUUAUAAAGAAUUAUUUGUGUAAUUUUUCGAAUUAUACUUAUGAGGUUGCUUGAUCUUCUUCUAAUUUCUUUCCUUUCUUGAUCCAUUAGCCAGAUUGUUUGCUCCCUGAUUGUUUAAUUUCAGGUUUUCCUAUAAGCGAUAUUUAAUUUGUUUCUUUUCACUCUUCUUUUACGAUCCGUUAUCAAGAAUUAUUUCUGUAAUUUUUGGAUUAUUGGAUAUAAACUUCGUUAUAUAAUCGAGACAUACAUUUGGCCGUUUUGCAGCGAGCUGAGAAGUCUUGAAUCUUGAUAACUAGAAAGGCUUGAUACAACAUAUGAAAAAUGGAGAAUGUCUUCAGAUAGAUAAAUCAGUUUAUUCAAUGAUUCGUUCUUUGUUACAUUUAUUUCUGGGUUUUUACUGCAAGAGAUGCAAAUUGAAUUUUCAACAUGUUUUGCUGCAGCGUGGUUUGUUACACUAAAAACCUGCUUGAUGCAUGGAGCGUAGCACUGGGUUGUAGAUAUCAUGAAUUUUAACACAUCUGCUGACUCUUCCUUUUACUGAUUGAUUAUCAUAACUUGUUUCUAUAAUUUUUGGGAUAUAAUUCUUAAUUUGAUAAUCUGGCGAUGCAUUUAUCCAUAGCUGUGAAGUCUUGAUAUCUAGAAUGUUUUUAUACACCGGACAAGAACGACAGCUCCAGAUAGAUAAAAAUCAAUUUCUUCAAUGAUCCAUUCUUUAUUAAUUUAAUUUCUGGGCUUCAAUUGCAAGACAUACGGAUUGAAUUUUUAACAUGUUGUUUUCAUUUUGAUUUGGUGAUUUCCAUUAGAUUCUUUUCAUUUUGAAAAUUUCUUUUAUCGUCAUCAUACAUUUCUUUAUUUUUUAUUUACUCUUUCGUGUUGCAGGAGAAGUGAACUGUAAACAUACUCUGGUUCUAUCAGAGGCCGCCUUCUCAGGCCAGCAGUCUUCUACUUCUAGUCAUUACUUUUUUUGUUAUUUACUCUUUCUAUGAUGGGCUUUCCUCUUACUCUUCAUGUAGGUUUUUAUACUUCUGAUUAGACUUGGAAUAAACCUGGCCAUACAUCUUACUCUUCGUUCAGCCCAGGGAUAAGUAAAAAUGGUUGUUUUUUCCCUUGCAUGUUAAUUUGUGUUGGGAUGGGAUAGUUAUGCUCUGAUUGUGUGCCCUGCUAGUGGUACAGUUUCAUGUUUUUGUAUCAGGAAUGUGAGUCUGGACUUUAUCUUUUUGAUUGGGUCUUUGAUUUGCUUCUAUCAAGGAGAUCUUUAUGUUGUGGCAUUUUGAUAUGCUUUAUUAGAUUUUAGAAUAUCAAGGAUUUCACGAUUCUCUCUACUCCUAUAUGGAUCGUUGUGAUAUGUUUAUUUUCAAACUAUUGGUUGUAGUUCUUCAUAAUCGAGAUCAUCAUGUUAGAUACUUGAGAUAUGCAUUUAACCAUUAUGCUGGAAGUGGAAUUUUGAGAAACUAAACAUUUUGCGAUUCUUGACUCAAUGGAUAUGUACAGAGAAUGGCUUCACAUUGAUAAAUCAAAUUUCUUCAAUGAUGCAUGGAGCCUAGCGUUUUGAUUUGGUGAUCUGUAUUAAAUUCUUUUCAUUUUUUAAAAUUCUUUAUUGUCUCUUGAGAUCAUGUAUUUCUUGACCUGUUUUUACCCUCUUAGGUCUUGCAGGAAAAGUAAUUUUGUAACAUACGAUUUCUUCUGGUUAUAUGUAUUAAAUUCUUUUCAUUUUUUAAAAUUCUUUAUUGUCUCUUGAGAUCAUGUAUUUCUUGACCUGUUUUUACCCUCUUUGGUCUUGCAGGAAAAGUAAUUUUGUAACAUACGAUUUCUUCUGGUUAUAUGUAUUAAAUUCUUUUCAUUUUUAAAAAUUCUUUAUCGUCUCUGAGAUCAUGUAUUUCAUCAUGUAUUUCUUGACCUGUUUUUUACCC